GUAACUCUUGCAGUCUCGGCUUUUGGCGCUGGGGAUCUCUUCCUCCGACGUUGCUGAUGUUCUCCCUGGAGCACGGCAGUUUAGAUCACCAUCUCUCGGGAUCUCGCAGCAAAAGAAGAACUUGGAGAGAACUUGGGGAGAGGAAAGCUGUAAGGCUACUCUUGCAAAGUUUGUUCUCUCUCCUCCGCUUUGCAACGAGAAAAGGAAGAGCUACGCUGCUGGA
Selaginella moellendorffii is the source of this 223-nucleotide long non-coding RNA. RefSeq lists it as uncharacterized. Lineage: Eukaryota; Viridiplantae; Streptophyta; Lycopodiopsida; Selaginellales; Selaginellaceae. The transcript has 2 exons. The record is from RefSeq and is a predicted model, not a curated record.